CCCGACCCGUAUCCGCAUUCAACUCUCCGGCGACAACAAUAUCUCCGGCACGGGAGCUCCGUCAUUUAUUCCGACCUAAUAGGGUUCCAUGGAUUCCAACUUCAUCAACUGCUGCUUUUCAUAGCUUAACUGAUACUCAUUUACCAAAGCGAAGACCAAGUGACAAACCUAAACGUAAAAGAGCUAGCUUGAGACCUCCAGGUCCAUAUGCAUGGGUAAAAUAUACCCCCGGUGAACCCCUAUAAGUCCAAACAAUCCCAAUGAAGGAAGUGUCAAGCGGAGGAAUGAGAAGAAGAGAAUCGGGCAGAGAAAGGCAUUUAUAUUGGUAUGAUCGUAGAACUGUGACCUUGUGGGGUGAGCUAGCUGAAAAAGAUGGGGAAAUACUACAAAAACUGAUAGAUACAAAACCUGUCGUAGCAUUUUGUGAUGUGAAAGGGUCGACGUAUCAAGGUAAUAUAUCGAAAACUCUUUUUACGUUCACAAUUAAUUCUUUAUCAAUUACAUCUUUACUGAACUUUAUUUUGUGUGUUGUGAGGAUAUCUACCACUCAUAUUAGUAGUGUGUUGAUCAACCCGACAUUUCAAAAAGCAAACAAGUUGCAAAAUUGGCAUGAUUGUUUGAAAGCGCAAAAUAAAGAUAUUACAUUAAUGCCAACUAAGAUGAUUAGAGAAGCCAAAGAAGUGAAGAUCAAAGAUAUCAUAAAUGAUAUCGUUUAAAAAUUGAUGUGUUCGAUGGCGAACGACAUAGCAAUGUUACACUUUUUGACGCUGCAAGAUACUUGCUAGGUUGUGAUGUUAACGAAUACAUCCAAUCAAUCUCUAAAAAUAAAGAAGAAUCAGAGUUUUACCAGAAGAUGAUCUUGAGUAAAUAUAAAGAAUUUACUUUUUUGGUCAAAGUUGACAAGCGAACUCAAGCCAGUAGUGUCAAGAGGAGCUUAAUUGCUGAAGAGAUGCAUGAAGUUGGAACUAUUGCUGCAAUUGAAAUUGAGGAAGACGCAAUAGAGGUGCAGAAAACACACACGAAGAAAACAAGGGAUUGUGGAGACAAAGAAGACCCUCAUUCAAUAAUUUAUAAGAAAAUCAAACGAUUAAAGGAUUAGGGAAAAUCAUUCAAUAAUUUAUAAGACUUUUGUUAUCUUUUUUAUGAGUAGAUUUCCUGUAGUUUUUAUUUAAUUCUCUUAUGCUACUGUAGUAUACUUUCGUUAGUCUAUAAUAUGUUACUAUUUAAGCUUCUUUUGAGAAUUAUAUUUAGUAAUUUGGUCAA
RNA transcript from Lycium ferocissimum, 1263 nucleotides. It is a transcript of the gene named replication protein A 70 kDa DNA-binding subunit B-like, with no coding region annotated. The transcript is spliced from 6 exons. Lineage: Eukaryota; Viridiplantae; Streptophyta; Magnoliopsida; Solanales; Solanaceae. The record is from RefSeq and is a predicted model, not a curated record.